This 251-nucleotide ribosomal RNA is filed under the name uncultured bacterium. RNAcentral describes it as "partial 16S ribosomal RNA". It matches the Rfam family "Bacterial small subunit ribosomal RNA", at positions 524 to 776 of the family's 1533-position model. The record is from RNAcentral.
UACGAAGGGGCUAGCGUUGCUCGGAAUCACUGGGCGUAAAGGGUGCGUAGGCGGGUCUUUAAGUCAGGGGUGAAAUCCUGGAGCUCAACUCCAGAACUGCCUUUGAUACUGAGGAUCUUGAGUUCGGGAGAGGUGAGUGGAACUGCGAGUGUAGAGGUGAAAUUCGUAGAUAUUCGCAAGAACACCAGUGGCGAAGGCGGCUCACUGGCCCGAUACUGACGCUGAGGCACGAAAGCGUGGGAGCAAACAGG